RNAcentral lists this unclassified non-coding RNA (501 nucleotides) under Hevea brasiliensis (rubber tree). Lineage: Eukaryota; Viridiplantae; Streptophyta; Magnoliopsida; Malpighiales; Euphorbiaceae. The record is from RNAcentral.
GGAGUUCAACAAUGGCGCCGCCGCAGCCCAAGUCCGGCCUCUUCGUCGGCAUCAACAAGGGCCAUGUCGUCACCAAGCGCGAGCUUGCCCCUCGCCCCUCCAGCCGGAAAGGGAAAACCAGCAAGAGAGUGCACUUCGUGAAGAACUUGAUCAGGGAGGUGGCUGGAUUCGCGCCCUAUGAGAAGAGGAUCACUGAGCUGCUCAAGGUCGGGAAGGACAAGAGGGCGCUGAAGGUUGCUAAGAGGAAGUUGGGUACUCACAAGAGGGCCAAGAAGAAGAGAGAGGAGAUGGCCAAUGUUUUGAGGAAGAUGAGAUCUGCUGGAGUUUCUGAGAAGAAGAAAUGAUGAAGUUGCCUAUCUUUAGUGAAGAGCAUUCUGGUUUGAGAUUUUUGUUAUAAAAGACUUUCGGUUAUUUUUCGUAUUUUACCGCUUUGAAGACUGUUGUAGUAUCCAACAUGAAUUCUGUGUUUUCUUGAUUUGUUAGGAAUGGUUUUUAUGGUUG